Molecule: ribosomal RNA, 253 nt
Filed under: uncultured bacterium
Lineage: Bacteria
Description: partial 16S ribosomal RNA
Rfam family: Bacterial small subunit ribosomal RNA
Source: RNAcentral
GACGGAGGGGGCAAGCGUUGCUCGGAAUGACUGGGCGUAAAGGGUGCGUAGGCGGUUUUUUAAGUGAGGUGUUAAAUAUUCGGGCUCAACCUGAAGAGUGCAUCUCAUACUGAAAAGCUUGAGUGUGAAAGAGGAAACGGGAAUUCCUCAUGUAGAGGUGAAAUUCGUAGAUAUGAGGAGGAACACCAGAGGCGAAGGCGAGUUUCUGGGUCACAACUGACGCUGAGGCACUAAAGCGUGGGGAGCAAACAGG